GUCGGGUGCAGUGGCGCGCGCCUGUAAUCCAAGCUGCUGGGAGGCUGAGGCUGGCGGAUCGCUUGAGUUCAGGGGUUCUGGGCUGCAGUGGACUAUGUCGAUCGGGUGUCCGCACUAAGUUCGGUAUCGAUAUGGUGCUCCUGGGGGAGCUCGGGACCACCAGGUCGUCUAAGGAGGGGUGAACCGGCCCAGGUCGGAGACGGAGCAGGUCAAAGCCCCCGUGUCGAUCAGUAGUGGGGUCGCGCCUGUGAAUAGACACUGCAGUGCAGCCUGUGCGAUACAGCGAGACUCAGACUUU
RNAcentral lists this signal recognition particle RNA (298 nucleotides) under Sinocyclocheilus rhinocerous. RNAcentral's name for it is "Metazoan signal recognition particle RNA (ENSSRHG00000023723.1)". It matches the Rfam family "Metazoan signal recognition particle RNA". From Rfam's summary of the family: The signal recognition particle (SRP) is a universally conserved ribonucleoprotein. Lineage: Eukaryota; Metazoa; Chordata; Actinopteri; Cypriniformes; Cyprinidae. The record is from RNAcentral.